CUUAACACAUGCAAGUCGAGCGGGGAUUGGGUGCUUGCACCUAAUCUUAGCGGCGGACGGGUGAGUAAUGCUUAGGAAUCUGCCUAUUAGUGGGGGACAACAUUCCGAAAGGAAUGCUAAUACCGCAUACGUCCUACGGGAGAAAGCAGGGGAUCUUCGGACCUUGCGCUAAUAGAUGAGCCUAAGUCGGAUUAGCUAGUUGGUGGGGUAAAGGCCUACCAAGGCGACGAUCUGUAGCGGGUCUGAGAGGAUGAUCCGCCACACUGGGACUGAGACACGGCCCAGACUCCUACGGGAGGCAGCAGUGGGGAAUAUUGGACAAUGGGCGGAAGCCUGAUCCAGCCAUGCCGCGUGAGUGAGGAAGGCCUUAGGGUUGUAAAACUCUUUCAGUAGGGAAGAU
This 400-nucleotide ribosomal RNA is filed under the name uncultured Acinetobacter sp. Its description in RNAcentral is "bacterial SSU rRNA". It matches the Rfam family "Bacterial small subunit ribosomal RNA", at positions 47 to 449 of the family's 1533-position model. The record is from RNAcentral. Lineage: Bacteria; Pseudomonadati; Pseudomonadota; Gammaproteobacteria; Moraxellales; Moraxellaceae.